UACUUUCAAAUAAAUCAAUCCAAUGUUUCCACGCUGUUGAUUAGAGCUAGUGACAGCAGUGCCUGAGUUUCCAACAACUGGGCUCUGCUGCUCUCCAUUAGGAAAUGAAACGCCAAACUGCAAACAAUGUUACAUUUUAACCUCCUUCACAUGCUACAAAUCAAGUCACAGGUCCUGUUCAUGAAAAGCAAGAUUUACAUCAUAGGAGUGUCAAAACAUAUUUAUUUGCAUGGGACUAUAGGUAAUCAAUAGCAAUACACAUGGGGAUGGCCACAAUUAGAUUUUUAAUUAGGUGCAACCCAUUUGGUUACAUGCUCUGGUGAACAGCAGCCGUUCGAGUCAAGGGACAGGACCUGGGCUGUGGGUUUGAACCAGAUGGAAUGAAUCAGAAACACAAGCUUCUCCAGAACAGGGGAUGUUGCACAGCUCCAUUUAAAUUAGGUCAGCCCAAACAAACCAAUUACACCCAUCAGAUGCCAGUCUAAUCAGCACCAUUAGGAUAAAAUAAAAGUGUUUCUAGGAACCCAAUCAAACACAUGCUGUACAGUGUUGUUAUAGCCCCAGGGGUUUGGACCAUAUUAGUUUGUUGGUGAUGUGGACACCAGGGAACUUGAAACUCUCGACCUGCUCCACUACAGCCCUGUUGAUGUGAAUGGGGGCGUAUUCGGCCCUCCUUUUCCUGUAGUCCACGAUCAUCUCCUUCGUCUUGCUCACGUUGAGGGAGAGGUUGUUGUCCUGGAGCCACUCUGCCAGGUCUCUGACCUCCUCCCUAUAGGCUGUCUCAUCGUUGUCGGUGAUCAGGCCUACCACCGUUGUGUCAUCAGCAAAUUGAAUUAUGGUGUUGGGGUCGUGCUUGGCGUCGCAGUCGUGGGUGAACAGGGAUUACAGGACUAAGCACCCACCCCUGAGGGGCCACUGUGUUGAGGAUCAGCGUGGCAGAUGUGGUGCUGCCCACCCUUACCACCUGGGGGCGACCGUCAGGAAGUCCAGGAUCCAGUUGCAGAGGGAGGUAUUUAGUCCUAGGGUCCUUCGCUUCAUGAUGAGCUUCGUGGGGACUAUGGUGUUGAACACUGAAUGCUGGGCUGUAGUCAAUGAACAGCAUUCUCACAUAGGAUUUCCUUUUUUCCAGGUGGGAAAGGGCAGUGUGGAGUGCGAUUGAGAUUGUGUCAUCUGGGAUGACGGUGUUGAUGUGAGCCAUUACCAGCCUUUCAAAGCACUUCAUGGCUACCAACGUGAGUGCUACGGGGCGGUAGUCAUUUAGGCAGGUUACCUUCGCUUUCUUGGCACAGGGACUAUGUUGGUCUGCUUGAAACAUGUCGGUAUUACAGACUCGGUCAGGGAGAGGUGAAAAUGUCAGUGAAGACACUUGCCAGUUGGUCCGUGCAUGCUCUGAGUACACGUCCUGGUAAUCCGUCUAGCCCCGCGGCCUCGUGAAUGUUGACCUGUUUAAAGUUCUUGCUCACAAUGGCUACGGAGAGCGUGAUCACACAGUUGUCCGGAACAGCUGGUGCUCUCAUGCAUGCUUCAGUGUUGCUUUCCUCGAAGUGAGCAUAAAAGGCAUUUAGCCCAUCUGGUAGGCUUGCGUCACAGGCAGCUCGUGGCUGGGUUUCCCUUUGUAGUCCAUAAUAGCCUUUAGCUCGAUGCGGAUGCUGCCUGUAAUCCAUGGCUUCUGGUUGGGAUAUGUACGUACGGUCACUGUGGGGAGGAUGUCAUCGAUGCACUUAUUGAUGAAGCCGGUGACUGAGGUGGUGUACUCAAAUCCAUUGGAUGAAUUCUGGAACAUAUUCCAGUCUGCUAGUUAAACAGUCCUGCAGCAUAGCACUGCGUCAUCUGACCACUUCCGUAUUGAGCGAGUCACUGGUACUUCCUGCUUUAAUUUUUGCUUGUAAGCAGGAAUCAGGAGGAUAGAAUUAUGGUCAGAUUUUCCAAAUGGAUGGCAAGGGAGAGCUUUGCAUGCGUCUUUGUGUGUGGAGUAAAGGUGGUCUAGUUUUUUUCCCCCUCUGGUUGCACAUGUGACAUGCUGGUAGAAAUGAGGCCACUAGGAGCGCCGCUUCUGGAUGAGCAUUUUCUGGUUUGCUUAUGGCCUUAUACAGCUUGUUGAGUGCGGUCUUAGUGCCAGCGUUGGUUUGUGGUGAUAAAUAUACGGAAAACCCAGCCAACUGCAUAUUAUCCAUGUUGUCAUUCAGUCACGACUCGGUGAAACAUCAGCGAUUACAGUUUUUAAUGUCCCAUUGGUAGGAUAGUCUCGAAUGGAGCUCAUCCAGUUUAUUCUCCAGUGAUUGCACAUUGGCCAAUAGAACUGACGGUAGAGGCAGGUUACCCACUCGCUGACUAAUUCUCACAAGGCACCCUGAUCUGCGCUCCCUGUAUCUCCUACUUUUCUACAUGCGAAUGACGGGGAUUUGUAUGGAACGCCGUUUGGGUCUUAAAGCACGUGGUCAAAACGCGAUAUUUUUAAUGCUGCGUGUGUAAAGUAAGCAGGUGCAGGCGCUAAAUUAACACGUGCAGGCACUAAAUUAACGUGUGCAGGUGCUAAAUUAAUGUGCGCACGCGUUAAAUGAACACCUAUACGCAUCAAAUAAGUGCGUGCAAAUGUGCUAAAUAAACGGCUGCAAGCCGUCCUGCACACGUCAAAUUAACGCCAACAGCUGCUAAAUAUACACCUACACACGCUAACUUAACGGGUUCUUUAAUUAAUAUGCUAAUUUUACCAGCCAAUUUCCCUAGCUCCUCCUUUCAUUAAAUUAGUGUACAGUCAGUUUGAUGCAACAACACCACAAUUGAAGAUGGCGAGAAGGAACUUACAUAUCCGCUGCAAACUUGAUGCCCUUCAGUCCACGUUAAGAAGCCAGUUCCACUUACCGGGCUCCUCAGACUUGGAGAGGAGCUAGAGGUGCGCCUUGUUAUGCCAUCACUCAAGAGCAACUGAGGUUUCUGAUGUCCUGUGCUUUCAGUGUGUCUCAGAUCGACAGUCAAAUGUCGUCUAAGACUUGGCUCUGGAUGAAAAGAUUAAGGACUUGGUGGUUGGGAACGACAAACGUGGACCGGAGGCUGUUCGAUCACAAUUAAGGGCUCUGGGUUCAGAGACGCAGAGUGAGGGACAGCAUGCUUCGUGUUAAAAGAGCCAUGUCGCAGAGGCUGCAUAGAAGGUCAUGUCGUGUUGCUGGACCAAACUCGUUAUGGCACCUUGAUGGAAACCACAAACUGAUAAGGUGGAGGAUAGUCAUACAUGGUGGCAUUGAUGGGUUCAGCCGUCUCAUUGUUUCUCCGUGCUUCCAGCAACAAUCGCAGCAGUACUGUAAUGGAUUGCUUCAUAAAUGCUGUCUCCAGAUAUGGCGUUCCCUCCAGAGUUAGGACGGACCAUUGAGGAGAAAACAACACUGUCUGCUUGAUGAAUACUACUUCUACAAACGAGGCUACACUUGUGGCAGCACCUAUUCCUGUGGCCCCCCCAUCUUCUGCACCACUUCUUGUGGCCCCCCUCCACCAUUCCCUGAGGCUUAUCGUCCACCUUCACCACACUCUUCUGUUGAUGUUGGUGAUGACAAUGAUGUUGACCUCCAAACACUGCUGAAGUUAAUGAGAUGCCAACCGAAUUAACGUGAUGAGGGACAACGUUUAUGAUUGUGCAAUGAGAGGCUUUAAGAGAGCCCGCUUUAAUCCGGAGGCAAAAAUAGACAUGGUUUUUAGGGAUGGUGACGGAAAAGGGGCAGCUGAUGAGGGUGGUCCCUCAAGAGAAUUUCUCUGGCUGCUAAUGAGUGCCAUCCAUUCCUUUGCAAUAUUUGAGGGACCUGAUUGGCAAAAAUGCCUUUCUUGCAACUCUCAAGCACUCUAUGAUGGCGUAUACAAGCAGGUGGGCCACAUGAUUGCUGUCUGUCUAGUACAUGGGGGUGUAAAGACACAUUUUUUCAGAGGCUAUACAGGCAAGUAUAUGGCCUACAACCUCCUGUGCCAGAAAUGAAAGAAAUGGUGGAAUAUAACUUAAGAGAGAAGUUGGAGAAGGUAAGUACUUUAUACUGUGAUGGAUGCUAUGUUACUGUUCAUUUGCACUAAGUUCGAAAAAAAAUAUUAGGGUUGUAGAUGUUCAUGAAGACUUUUCCACAUGGAUUUGGUUUCCUUUUGUUGGCAGUCAAUGUUUUUUAAGGGUAGUGAUAAUCAGUUUAUUUUGCUAAUUUUUCCCAAAACACUGUUCAAUAAACAAACAAUUUAAGAUCCAGUUAGCACAAACUGUUGACGAGGCACAGGAAGCGGUCGAGUUGGGUCCAGUGCGAUACAUUCGUACAUUGGAGAGGGAUGCCAUGGUGGAGUCAGCCACAAAGUUCUACUUAGAAAGCAGGAUAUGGGAUGCUCUUGAGUAGUGAGUCUCAAGUUUAGUUAAAUUCUUCAGGGUUAAUUCAUUGACUUUUUUUACUUUAUAGAUUCAAAGAGGUCUGGAGUGUCUAGGUCUCCUGCCUUACAUGAAUAGACACUGAAGCCUCUUCAGAGAGUGUUUCAUCUACGCUGAGAAACCUCUUUUGGCCAGACAUAGCUUCUCUCUUCAAAGCAGAGUGCUCUCCACAUGGUACCAAUCAAAGAGCAAUAGAGAGAAGAGUCAUAUGUUUCUGGGGGGACUGGCUUCUGGAGGUGGAAGGUUAGAUGCAAAACCAUGAUCAUUGAAGUAACACGGCCCACAUCAGUAAAACAUCACCUAAUCACUCUCACAACUGUGGGACAGCAUUUUAUAGCCUUAUUCUUCCAUGGUCCCCCUAAGAAUGUAAUGGAUAAAUGAAAUCCCAAACUACCUUCACUUAGAGUAUUGUGCUCUCCAACAAGUGUUACUUAUGGACUUUAAUGACCCCCCCUUCCCUUUUUUUCAGGGGGAACACAUACCCUUCUCCAUGGAGAAGGUUUUCAUUUUCACUUCGGGGGUUUCAGCAUUCCUAGGCUGGGAUUGCCAGUGGAGCCACAGCUACAGUUCUAUCUGCUACCACACAGCAAGUGGUACCGGAGCGCCAAGUCUAUGUCCAAGAGGCUUCUAAACAGAUUCUACCCCCAAGCCAUAAGACUACUGAACAUCUAAUCAAAUGGCUACCCAGACUAUUUGCUGCUACUAUCUAUGCAUAGUCACUUUAAUAUCUCUACCUACAUAUAUAUAUAUUAACUUGACUAACCGGUGCCCCCGAACAUUCCCUGUACCGGUAUCCCCUGUACAGUAUAUAGCCUCGCUAUUGUUAUUUUACUGAUGCUCUUUAAUUAUUUACUCUUUUUGUCGUUUUUUUUAAACUGCAUUUUUGGUUAAGGGUUUUUAAAUAAGCAUUUCACUGUUGUAUUUGGCGCAUGUGACAAAUUCAAUUUGAUUUAAAGAAUUCAUUUAAGGGGAAUUAUCCAAAACGUUUAUUGCAUGACUACCUAGUAAGUUCGGAAUACUGCAGCCAAUGUUAAUUGGUGAUGUGUCCCAAAAGAAUUGAUAUUAUUAAAGUUUCCGACCGGAUUGUCCAUCAGCAAAAAAAGUUGUGCAGUGAAAGUUUUCAAAAACAUUACAACCAACCAGAAUCAAUUGGACACAGUAAUAAAUAAUGCAGAUUUAAUAAAUGUAUGAUUUCUUAGUGGGUAAACUGAGCAUUAUGCAUAGUUAAGUCAUGUAUGUCAAGGGACUGUUACAAUAUGUGCAAUGUUACCAUAAAUAAAUCCUACCGUAAAUAUGUACAUUUCAUUUACAUGUGUAAUGGCAAUAAAAGACACUGUAGUUGGUACAUAGGUCGUGGUGGAGCAAGUUUGAGGGUAGUGGAGAAGCACAAGUGGGACUUUGAGUGAAGUAACUGAAGGCAGAAAAGGAUAUCAGGGUGCCCAGGAACUUGAAGCUGCUGAUCAUCUCCAUGUCAAUGUACAGUAGAUGGGAGAAUGGUCAAGUAUCACCAUGUACUUUGUUUUGUUUACGCUGAGACUGUUGUCCUAUCAUCAUUAUGUCAGGUCCCACAGCUCCUUCAUGUACUCAUGUGUACCAUGGUAGUGUCGGGUCCCACAGCUCCUUCAUGUACUCAUGUGUACCAUGGUAGUGUCGGGUCCCACAGCUCCUUCAUGUACUCAUGUGUACCAUGGUAGUGUCAGGUCCCAGAGCUGCUUCAUGUACUCAUGUGUACCAUGGUAGUGUUGGGUCCCACAGCUCCUUCAUGUACUCAUGUGUACCAUGGUAGUGUCACGUCAAUUCUGGGGAUACACAUUCUUAUGAUAAUGUAAAAAAUCGAAAUUUGUUAUUACAGGAUUUACACCCAGAGCCCUGAGUCUGCAAACCAGUUUGUGGGUCAGGAUGGCGUUGAAAGCAGAGCUAUAAAAUAAAAUGCACUCUGACGUAUGUAAAAAUGUAUAAUUGACAUUUGUUGGGACAAUAGGCAAACUGGAGUUGUACAUUGUGCUACACUAUCUAUUGUUCCAGUUUUUUUAAAUUGAUAUCGACUGGGCUGCAGUGGAGAUGGUAAGAAGCAUUGAUAUCAUAGGGACCUAACUUCUAACGUCCUUUCCUGGUACACCCACAGACACUGCAGUCAAAUGCCAACCAGCGGCUCUCCGUCCUACAGUGGCUGAAGAUGUUUUGCCUGACGUCAAACAUUAACAAGAGUGUCAGAUUGAAGUGUCUGGAAAAAACGUAAACAUAACCAUAAGAGCAGAUGACUUUGUCAUCUUUACUGGCACAGUUUAAAAAUGUCUAAUUGUAGUCCCUUUCAAUUGAUUCAUUGACUCCAAGAACCAUAGAUUGUUUGUAGUUCAUAACAUUAACACAGCUGACAAACGUUGCUUGACUGUAAAUUGGGAUACAUGUUUGAAUAACAUUGGAUAUUUGAUUGGGCUUAAUGUUGUACACCUUGUCAUGUUGUGCAUGCAUGCCAACCAGGUGAGAAUCACCAGAAUUAAUUGAUACUUGAUGAAUCAGGUCUUCUCUGCUGCUUUAUCAGCAUCCCCCUUGCCCACUCCAAGCUCCUCUUCAUGGUUCCCUUCUGCAAGACACAAUUGUGGGAAAAUAAAGUGGAAGGAAUGGGAACCCUAUUCCUUUGAAGCAGUACUGUGUAUAUGCCUGAAGUUAUUUUACCCUGAUAAGCUUCGAAGGAAUAUAAAUAUUCAAAAUGUGAACGUACACAUUAAAGUCUACUCUGUUCGAAAGCUGACAUGUAACGUUAGACGUUAGCAAAGGUUUUACAAGGUUGUCACUAGCCAAAUUUGCUUUAUGUGAGCUUUUCUGUCUUCAUGCUAAUCGCGAGCUAGCGCGGCUAACGCUAGCAUUUAAAUGAAAGCCAGUCAGGCUGAAGAAGUUGCUGACCUUAAGUUGUUGUUUUGCUUAAAUACAAGGCUUUGGGCUAAAAACGGAACUCAAAAACAUGUCCUGCUUCAGUACUAGCCGAUAAGUCACAUUUAGGUAGCUUUGAAGGAAUAUAAAUAUUCAAAAAGUGAACGUGCACAUUAAAGUCUACUCUGUUCGAAAGCUGACAUGUAACGUUAGACGUUAGCAAAGGUUUACAAGGUUGUCACUAGCCAAAUUUGCAAAAUAAAGACAAUAGUCCAAAAAUCUAGAACUACCAGGAUUUUGAGCAUCUCCGUUGUCUCAUCUAUGUAUGCCUGGUCCUGCAUUCAAGCAACAAUCUUGCUAGUAUGUAAUUUACCUUGAUGGUAUCAAAAGUCCAAUGUGUUUUCGUGGCUGUUAUAGUUUACAUGUUUUUUCAGCAGGGCUUUUAAUAAAACACAACACGGUGCCGUUCACUGCGGCUAGCAGUAUGACCAGGCAAAGUUUGAGGCUAACUAUAUGAUAUAAUAUGGCUGGGGUUCGAGGCUACCGACGUUAGCUAAAUUAGCUAGCAAGUAUCUGACUUAGCUUAUGCUAAGCACUGCUGAUCCUGGUGCUAGAUUAAUGUUAGCUGCAUUUUAUAGCCAGUGAUGAGAAACAGAUCCUUCCACUGUAAACUAGCUGAUAAACCUUACGAUUCAGUAACAACAAAUUUCAAAGACAAAACCAUUACCUUGUAAAGGUUCAAACUCUGCUUGCAGUGGAAAAGGAAGUUCCUUCAAAC
RNAcentral lists this long non-coding RNA (8036 nucleotides) under Salmo salar (Atlantic salmon). Its description in RNAcentral is "lncRNA (ENSSSAG00000090573.1, ENSSSAG00000101454.1)". Lineage: Eukaryota; Metazoa; Chordata; Actinopteri; Salmoniformes; Salmonidae. The record is from RNAcentral.